This is a non-coding RNA of Pelobates cultripes (western spadefoot toad), 168 nucleotides long. The record is from the annotation of a GenBank genome assembly. Lineage: Eukaryota; Metazoa; Chordata; Amphibia; Anura; Pelobatidae.
GCAGACACAUUCCAGCCAAUCAGCAGCAGACCCUCCCUCCCAGACCCUUCCACCUCCUGGGCCGUUCACUAAGAAUGCAGCUUCACAAUGAAUGUAAAAUGGAUGCUGUCCAGGAGGUGGGAGGGUCUGGGAGGGAGGGUUUGCUGCUGAUUGGCUGGAAUGUGUCUG